GCCCUGAUAGCUCAGUUGGUACGAGCGUGCGACUGAAGGUCCCCCAUGGGAUUUCGCAAGGUCACCUGUUCGACCCAGGUUCAGGGCA
This is a non-coding RNA of Violaceomyces palustris, 88 nucleotides long. Lineage: Eukaryota; Fungi; Basidiomycota; Ustilaginomycetes; Violaceomycetales; Violaceomycetaceae. The record is from the annotation of a GenBank genome assembly.